RNAcentral lists this ribosomal RNA (660 nucleotides) under bacterium IBRC-M MB5. RNAcentral's name for it is "bacterial SSU rRNA". It matches the Rfam family "Bacterial small subunit ribosomal RNA", at positions 48 to 688 of the family's 1533-position model. The record is from RNAcentral.
AGUUCGAGCGCAGGAAGCUAGAUGACCUCUUCGGGGUGAUUCUAGUGGAAUGAGCGGCGGACGGGUGAGUAACACGUGGGCAACCUGCCUGUAAGACUGGGAUAACUCCGGGAAACCGGGGCUAAUACCGGAUAGUAUUUUCUUUCUCCUGAUUGAAAAUGGAAAGACGGUUUCGGCUGUCACUUACAGAUGGGCCCGCGGUGCAUUAGCUAGUUGGUGGGGUAAUGGCCCACCAAGGCGACGAUGCAUAGCCGACCUGAGAGGGUGAUCGGCCACACUGGGACUGAGACACGGCCCAGACUCCUACGGGAGGCAGCAGUAGGGAAUCUUCCGCAAUGGACGAAAGUCUGACGGAGCAACGCCGCGUGAGCGAUGAAGGCCUUCGGGUCGUAAAGCUCUGUUGUCAGGGAAGAACAAGUACGAGAGUAACUGCUCGUACCUUGACGGUACCUGACCAGAAAGCCCCGGCUAACUACGUGCCAGCAGCCGCGGUAAUACGUAGGGGGCAAGCGUUGUCCGGAAUUAUUGGGCGUAAAGGGCGUGUAGGCGGUUUCUUAAGUCUGAUGUGAAAGCCCACAGCUUAACUGUGGAGGGUCAUUGGAAACUGGGGAACUUGAGUGCAGAAGAGGAGAGUGGAAUUCCACGUGUAGCGGUGAAAUG